UUCAAAAGGUGGAGAGAGGUGUUCUUGAGAUACAACUUGAAUGUGUUCCUCUCACUCAAUGAUAACAACAUUCUCCUUUUCUCCCUCUUUUGUUUUCUUGUUUAUGCUACUUUCUACCUCAAAACCUUUGUAAAAAACCAUUAUAUUAAUUGUAUGUUGAUACAGUCAUUAAGAAUCAAUUUCAUGAACCAUUAUAUUGCAUGUUGGUUUUUUACCACCAUUGGUCCAUUACCUGAUUCUUAGAAAAGGUUUUUUGUCCGGUGACUAAUAACAUCAAAUAUGGAUAUGGAAACCAGUGUAUAUGUUUCUCAAAAUGGAUAUAAUAUUUUUUUAAUGCAGAAUAAUUAUGCUAUUAUAACUAUGAAAAAUACUACAAACAAUUCUACAAAUCAAAAUCAUAAUGGACACUGUGUUUUUUUUUUCUCAAAUGGACACAAUGUUUAUUUUAAAUUAUUUUUAAUCAAAACCAUAAUGAAAUUAAUCUUGUUUUGGUUUGCUCUGGCCUUUAGAGGCUCAUCUUGCAAGUCGCCUAUGCUUUAUUUUGCAACUAAGAUCUUUGUAACAUGAUCUUUCCAUUAACAAGAGUAUAGUAGGCAAAAUGAAUAACAAGCAUCAAAAUCCAAGAGAUGAGAAGUUCAUAUAGCGGCAGAAACACAUGAGACAAUUCAUCCAAAAUACUAAUUAAAUAAAAAGCUAAAUGUUUUUCAGAAAUCUUUCACCAUGAGACUUUGCAAGGCACAAACUUGACGCUUAUUGUCCGCAGUGUAUAUAACGGCCAGCAACUAGGAAUACGAAUAGACCGAAUACCUCCGCCGAGCUGCACAUAGUUGGUUGGCCUAAGUACCUUAGAUUCAUAAGCCCAGCCCCCAGGGACCUACAGAAAAUUAAAGUAACAAAUGAUUAUCUAUCGAGAAUGUUUUCACACUAUAAAGAGCAUUCCUAGGUGUCGUAGACAUCUAACUUAAAGAUGCCAAGACUCCAGACUUUAUCAUUCUCUCCAGCUCACAAAUAAACACAACAAGUGAAAACCAUCAUCACUGAAGCUUUUGACACAAACUAUUGCUUAACAUUCUCUAACAUGGUGGUGGUGACAUAAAUGCAUAUAAGACUGAGCUUGAAAGUAUGUUUUCAACAAGAAAAAUCAAACAAUGUUCUUUCCAGUUUCUCAUCAGAAAAUAUUUCAUUACAAGCUUGAAAAAUAUGUUACCUUGAAUAUAGUCGCCUCGUAAGUUCCAAAAACAUCACCUGAGAUAUAUAUACACAAGAUUUCAAAUAAAUAAGGGUUUUCCAGAGUGGAAAAAGAAAAUGAAAGGGGGAGAAAAGUUUACCUACAACGCCGCCAAGUGCGCCGCCCACGGCAGCGAUUCUACUCAAACAACUAUUUUCUCUCGCCAUCUUUCAACAGUUUUUUUUUUUUUGUUUUUGAGAAUUUUUCAGACAACUUCUUUGCUGUGUGUUUCUGUCGGUAAAUAAUUUUACGCUUGUCCUCGCCGCUUUUAAAGUUUUUUAUUUCCUUGGAGAUAAAGGCCAACAGUCAUCGACCUCGUAUAGAACCAGUUUAAACCGCAGCCCUGCAAGCCCGGUUCAUUUGGUUUAACUGAAUUAAAUUACGGUUCAGAUCUAAACUAAUCGAAUUAACUGGCCUUUAUCGCAAAUUCGCCCCAAAUAUGAUAAAACUGUAAUCUGCUUCAAGAAGAUCAUUGGCAUGAUCCGUGGCGGGUGCUGGUCAUAUGUAUGCUUCUUAACAAAACUUCUGGUGCACAGGUUUGUCGUCACUCUUCUAUCUCUCUCUCUCCAUAUCUUUGCUGAGCUUAUAUUGUUUAGGAGCAUCUCAGACCAAAUUAGUUAAGUUUUGCCAUUUGCUUGUUGCAUACCUUUUUCAAUCAGUUUGACAGCAAUUAGUACAUGAAUGAGACAAGUCCAAAGGAAGUAGAUGCAAGUAUUUGGUUUGCUGAGUGAUUGAUUGAUCCAUGAAUGGAACUGCUUGCUCUUGUUGAAUGCAGUUUGAAGUAACCUAUAAUGGGAAGUGGGAUUGUAUAAGACCUGAUGAUCAUAUGCUAAACUAUUACCGGGAAGUCCUUAGGAUUCGUUAUAUGUUAUGAGUUGGGUUACAAGUAUAUAUUGUGCUCUGUUUUUUUUUGGUGUUGUCAAUGUUGAAAAGUUGUAAAUGAUAGAGAUCUUGUCAUAGAGUUUGUUUAAACUUUUAAUGUGUUUUGGUUUGGAAUCAUAUUAUCAACGGAAAAACUUCUGUUUGACCAGAAAAGGUAGCAAAUAAAUGCGUGUACAGUAAGUUAGGUUUAUAUUCAACACAAUUAAAUUUAACGCGGAGAAAAUCCGAACUAAUCAAAACUUUGAUGUAUUUGAUGUAAUUUGGUAUCAUUGAUUUUAUUAGCACAUGCAAUAAUCAGAACGUUUAAUUUGUGUGUGUUAUCAUUGAAAUUGUGGUUCUAAAUAAAGACAUUUGUGACGUUGUUUUGCCAAAACUAAUCAAGAAGUAGUAAAUAAAUAAAUAUCGUAAUAAUGGGUGAUAAUAUGACAUGUCAAAUUGUCAAUUACAAAAUUUCAGAAAAAAAAUUGGAAAAUAAAUCUCAUUGGUGUAUCUCCUCUCAUCUCAUCUCUGGCCGACAAAUAAAACACACCUAAUCAUAGGCUUCUCCAUCUCCUUUGUUUGGAGGAUGAUGUAAUUUCUCAGACAUCAUUUCUCCAAAUCCUUUCGAAACUUUGUUUUUGUUUUCUUUGUUUCGGUUUUCUUCUCCUCGUGUUAUUAUUCAAACAUAACCUGUUCUCCUCGGUCUUCCACAAAAUAAAAUAAUAAUAAUUCAGCUGAUCUAUAGAGCUUUUAGGUUCUUCCAAGAAACUGAACAUUGAAGGAAGGCCUUGCUGAGUUUGGAUUUUCGUAGUUGUCCCUUGUUUACGGUAUCCUCGACGAAUCCUUUAUAAACUUUUCAUUGGUGAAGUCAAGUUAUUUUUUUAAUCGUUUUUUUUUUAAUUCAGAUUCUCGUUGUUUGACAAUGCAAUGGCUCUUCAGGGGAUGUCAUGAUUUGUGGAAAAUCUUUCGGACAAAACCUGUUUGAAUGCCCCACUUUUUUGUCUGAACAUCUUCUCAUUGUCACGGCUCUAAGUUCGAAAUGUCUCUCGGCCAAGAACAUGACAAUCCCUUUGAAGUUUCUGGUAACCAGCACAAACCCAUUAAUAUUUACAAUGUUUUCCUAUGAUAAAACGGUUUCAAAUGCUGUCUUUGUGUUUUUAGGGUCGCAUGCUUGCUUAUAUGACCUGUUAUGUUUAGAGACAUCAAACGAGACUCUUGAAAAUGAUUUUCAGACAUCUUCUUCUGGUAAUAAUAAUACCUAAAACUUUUCUAAGUUAAUGAUGUAGAUGAUGAUUAUGCUGGUGUUACUUAGAGACAAUCUCAUUCUCAUGUCAUGUUUUGACAUUUUCAGAUCCCCGAGAUCGGUUAGAGAAGUUGCUGAAACAACCUGCGAAUAAAUAUUGUGCUGACUGUGGAUCUCCUGAACCUAAAUGGGUGUACGUUGAUCGAUUUAUAUGUGUAGCAUUUCUACAUUUUCUUCUAUUCAUGGAUCGACUCAUUUCCUUUGAUGUUUUUUAGAUCGUUAAGUCUCGGUGUGUUUAUCUGCAUUAAGUGUUCUGGUGUACACAGAAGCCUUGGAGUUCAUAUAACAAAGGUACUUUUCUUUCUCAUCUCUAUGUUUUCUUUUUGUCUAGAGCCUUUUAACCGAUUUUUUUAUUUAAUCACAGGUCUUAUCAGUUAAGCUAGAUGAUUGGACAGAUGAUCAAGUUGAUAUGCUCGCAGAGUACGGUGGAAACACUGUGGUGAACCAGAGAUUCGAAGCUUGCAACAUCGACCAUUUAAAGAAACCCAAACCUGAUUCCAAUAAUGAUGAACGCAAUGAUUUCAUCAGGUGACAAUAAUAAUAAACAGUUUGUUAUAGUCUCAUGCAUGUAUAGUUUAUCUCACUGUUUAUGUCUUGAAAUCUGCAGAAAGAAGUAUGAGCUGCACCAGUUUAUGGAUCCAAAAGAUUGUGCUCUGUGCCCUUAUCAGCAGCCUAGCAAGAUAAAUGAUUCGACACCGUCUUUAUGUUCUGCAAACCACCGUUCUACGAAAAACCGUAUUGGUAAUGCAUUUAGGAAUAGCUGGGGAAGAAGAGAAUCUGAUCACAAAGGCCACAAGAAGAGCAAUUCUCUGGUAAGCAACCAUUACACCUACAUACAUGCAUACAUGUUUAGUUUAGGUAAUACAGUGUUACUAAUGUUAGUUAUUGUGGGUGUGUGUUUUAUAGGCAGGUAUGAUUGAGUUUGUCGGAUUGAUUAAGGUUAAUGUGGUUAAAGGAACUAACUUAGCGGUCCGAGAUGUGAUGACCAGUGAUCCUUAUGUUAUCCUUACUCUUGGCCAACAAGUAAGCUCUCUGAAAAAGAUUUCUCUACCCUUGUGACUUAAAACUAAACUAGUCAUGUAAACUAAGUCUGGUCUUGUUCUUUAUGUUGUUGAAGUCGGUUAAAACAAGGGUAAUAAAGAACAACUUGAAUCCUGUGUGGAAUGAGACGCUGAUGCUUUCUAUACCUGAGCAGAUGCCUCCUCUCAAAGUGGUAAGUGCACAUCUCUUUUUAACUUGUGGGUUGAAGAAUAAUAACAAUUACUGAAACAGAGAGCUCUGUUCUUAAACUCAUUAACUUAAAGGUCCAAACUAUUAACUGAUUGUUGUUAAAACUAGUACCACGAGCUAUACCAAACUCUUAACAUGUGUUUUUUCAGUUGGUAUACGACAAGGAUACGUUCUCGACAGAUGAUUUCAUGGGGGAGGCAGAGAUAGACAUACAACCACUGGUGAGUGCAGCGAAAGCUUACGAGACAUCGAGCAUUAAAGAGCCGAUGCAGCUGGGGAGCUGGGUGGCGAGCAAAGAGAACACGUUGGUGAGCGAUGGAAUAAUCUCACAGGAAGAAGGGAAAGUGAAACAAGACAUAUCACUCAGGCUUCAAAAGGUGGAGAGAGGUGUUCUUGAGAUACAACUUGAAUGUGUUCCUCUCACUCAAUGAUAACAACAUUCUCCUUUUCUCCCUCUUUUGUUUUCUUGUUUAUGCUACUUUCUACCUCAAAACCUUUGUAAAAAACCAUUAUAUUAAUUGUAUGUUGAUACAGUCAUUAAGAAUCAAUUUCAUGAACCAUUAUAUUGCAUGUUGGUUUUUUA
Molecule: long non-coding RNA, 5205 nt
Filed under: Brassica napus (rape)
Lineage: Eukaryota; Viridiplantae; Streptophyta; Magnoliopsida; Brassicales; Brassicaceae
Description: long non-coding RNA (BNAP_LNC023592)
Source: RNAcentral